This is a long non-coding RNA of Jaculus jaculus (lesser Egyptian jerboa), 1987 nucleotides long. RefSeq lists it as uncharacterized. The transcript is spliced from 3 exons. NCBI's taxonomy places the organism in Eukaryota, Metazoa, Chordata, Mammalia, Rodentia, Dipodidae. The record is from RefSeq and is a predicted model, not a curated record.
GCAUGCGCCGCCUUGUGCCAUCUGGCUCAUGUGGGUCCUGGGGAGUCAAACCGAAGUGCUUUGGCUUUGCAGGCAAGCGCCUUAACCGCUAAGCCAUCCCUCCAGCCCCCAGUUCCUCGUUUGAUUCAUGAUUUUGUUGUUUCCAGUCAGGAGUGGUCUACUGAAGAUGCUGGCAGAAAUCCUGAUACACGAAAAUCUUUUGUGUAGCUAGAACCUUUGUUUCUGAAAAUGCAUUUUGCUGAUUUAACUUGUGGACUCACCAUAUUGUACUACUGAAUUGGUCCCAUCUCUUUGCAAAUGAAGACCUCGGAAUCGUAAUUGCGGAUGAACUCAAUGUAUUCUCUUAGUCUACAAAUUUCCAGUGUCUAUAAAGGACACUAGGUGGGCAUCAGGGAAACAAGGCCCUAGAUUCAGUUUCUUAAAGCCUGGAACUUGGAUCUCCAGCCACCUGCCUGGAGGAGGUGUCACUGGGCACAGACCCUGGGUCCAGCCCUAAGAUGUCAGUUGAUCUGGAAUUGCAGCCCAAGUGGAACUUGAAAUGGCUGGUGGUACUGCUGGGAAGGACUCUGGAGAAGGCCAAGCCAGAGGGUUACCUGCUCAGACAGCUCACUUGCAGUUAGCGCCCCGUGGACUGUAUUUGUUGACACCUGAAAUCUAGGACAACCAGCUACGGAUAUGCGGGUGUGACUGCUAAAUACAGCACAGCAGUGCUGUCCUUGCCAUUGAGGUACUUACGUGGCAGGAAAUGGAUCAGAGACUUAAAGGUAGAGUGCGCUUCCCUCAAUCACUUGCAACUUGCUACUGGUUGAGAUGAACUGGACUCUCAUCAAGGCUACACAGCUGGUGGUGGUGUCAGGCAAUAUUCACAGACUUUAGCGGAGAAUGUCUGGAAGCAGUGACUGUGGUCCACCACGUGUAGAUAUCGUGCAACAUCAGUCAAAAGGCUGAACCCCUCAUGAAAAGAUGCCUCAAUCAGUAUUAUCUCAGGAUGCUAAAUAUUCUAGGCUUUUGUUUGUUCCUUGAGUCGCGUUUAACCCAGUCUGGCUGAACUCACUAUGUAGCCAAAGCUAGACUUGAAUACCUGAUCAUCUUGCUUCCACUGCUGGGGUUACAGGCAUGAGCCACUACACCUGUCAGGACUCUUAAACUCUAGCUUUUAAAUAUUUUAUUUAUUUGAGAGAAAGAGGUAGACAGAGAAUGGGCACACCAAGGCCUCCAGCCACUGCAAACAAACUCCAGAUGCAUGUGCCAUUUUAUGCACCUGGCUUUAUGUAGGUACCGGGGAACCAAACCCAGGUCCUUAGGUUUGCAGGCAAGCACCUUAACCACUGAGCCACUACUCCAGCUGUCCAUUAUUGGUGAUUCCAGAAGACUACUCUGCGAAAAAUACAAUUUUUGUUUUUUGUAAUUGAUUUAAACAAGUAGAAAGUUUAAUUAGCUUUCCAGUCAACCAAAUUUCUGUAUUACAGUCAUUCCCGUUUAAGCAUUAUCGUGGCUUCAAAGAAACCAUUCUGAACUAAUAAAUUUGAUGAGGUGACAGUUUUAUAAAAAUUGUUUGAAUUUUGUUUGGGUUUCCCACUCUAACCUAGGCUGACCUGGAACUCACUCUGUGCUCCCUCCCAGUCUGGCCUCAAACUCACAGCAAUCCUCCUACCUCUGUCUUUCAAAUGCUGGGAUUAAAAGUGUAUGUUGCCAUACCUGGCUUUUUGAAUUUUAAUGUGACAUAGAGAUUAUACUAACAAGCAUUUGGGUUUGUACAGAUUAUUCCACUUUGGAGAAUAAGUUCAAAAAAGAUCAUAUCCCUCACCCCUGCAAAAAAAAAAAAAAAAAAGGAAAGGUUUAAAUAAAGACCUAAAAUGUAGUUAUUAGAGGAGCCAGGCAUGAUGGCGCACACCUUUAAUCCCAGCACUUGGGAGGCAAAGGUGGGAGGAUCACCAUGAGUUCAAGCCCACCCAGAGACUAUGUGGUAAACUCCUGGUCAGCCUGA